Molecule: RNA transcript, 4223 nt
Organism: Oncorhynchus gorbuscha (pink salmon)
Lineage: Eukaryota; Metazoa; Chordata; Actinopteri; Salmoniformes; Salmonidae
Gene name: trans-Golgi network integral membrane protein 1-like
Exons: 4
Source: RefSeq, a predicted model, not a curated record
AGGGUGGGGGCGCAGUCCUUGUUAGCGGGCUGCGACGGCAUUAUCCUCAAAGCGGGCAAAGGUGUUUUGUUUGUCUGGAAGCGAGACGUCGGUGUCCGUAACGUGGCUGUUUUUCUUUUUGUAGUCUGUGAUUUCCCGUAGACCCUGCCAUGUAUUGGAAUAAAUGACCAAACUAUAAAACUAGCUAGCCAGCUAUGGGUAACUGUAGCUAGCUACCUGACAGGAGUGCUAGUUAGAUACGUUAGCUUACUAGGUACAUUAAUAGCUUUAGGUUGGUUGUUUUUAAGCUCAACUUCAAGAUUUCCACCAAGGACGUUGCGUCUCCGAUCAUCACUCUCUCUCGCUUAGGCAAGGGACAUGUAAGGUACACUCGGAUGUGACAAUGUAAAAUGUAAUUCAAGGGUUGAGGGUUUAGGGCCAAUGCCUGCGUUUCAAACUCAAAGUAGACAGCCCUUGAGCCCUCAGCCCUCAGGGGAAUCCCCGCGGACAUAUUUGUCAUCAGUAGAAAAUGUAUUUUUAUUUGAUUGAACUCUUAUUUUACCAUGGAUAGUUGACUGAGAACACAUUCUCAUUUACAGUAACGACCUGGGGAAUAGUUACAGGGGAGAGGAUGGGGAAUGAAUGACCCAAUUGUAAACUGGGGAUGAUUAUGUGACCAUGAUUAGCCAAGCAAGGGAAGUUUGCAACGUAAGCCCCUUUAGCCCUCGUUUUUAAUAGAGUUUGCGAGUACACAAUUAUGUUCACUUCGGGGCCUGAAACGCCCCAUAAUUCAAUUUGUGAUGAUUGUACAUCCCCCUAAAAAGAUUCUGCCAAAACGUAAAACCUCAAUGCCAAUAUGGAGUCAACAUACAAGUGUAAGUAAAAACGAAUGUAAAUAAGUUAGAAAUUGCGCUACUAAUGCACAAACACGUCUCAUAAAAGUAAUUAUGUUUUUGUUUGGUUAGCUUUUGGAAAGUGUAGAAAUAAAACAUUGUCCUUCAGAAGUAGCUAGACAGGCUAACUUUAUUUAGCUAAUUAAUUUGCUAGCUAUCAUACAUUAUACUCAUAUUAAUAAUUAUAUAGUUAAUAUAAGCAGACAUGCAAUCAUAAUUGACUGUAGAGUAUAUAAUGCACCCACAAGCUUCCGGUGGCUGAAAAAAACAAUCAUCGCGGGAUGAACGAGUGACAAAUCUCCUGGCAAGAGCGGUCCAUUUAAAAAUCAUUCCUUCGUCCAUCGCCCCUUACCCUGCAAGUGUAUACUCGUCAGACGUUAUGGAACGUCACCAGAAGUGUUCACUUCAUUUGAGGGCUGAGGGGAUUGGGUGUGUCAUUUAAGUGUUUGGAAUGCUGCCAGUGUUUCUUGUUUCUGUUGUUCUCGGUCAGUUUUUCACUUCUUAACCACGUCCGUCAACAAUCACCCACAACGAAGAUGGCGGCUUGCAAGGAGACGAGACGUAACUGGACAAUUCACUGUGCAUUUGCUGUGUUUAUCUUGUUAGAACUAUUUCCUCUCAACUGUAUUUCGGCACCGCUGGAACCCGAAAACGAUACAGUUGAGGUUCAACCACCUCUGAAUCCAAGAGUUGUUGGUUUGGAUCACUCCUUGCCUUUGGCAACCGUCAGCACUGGUACAACAGACAGCAAGGCAGACACCGCAACCAAUGACAAAGCUAGAACAUCUAUCGAUGUUGAUAAAACAGCAGUCAUUAAGGCUGUAACAUCAGACCUAAAGGAUGCUGCUGCUACACCCAAUGAGAGUGCUACGCCUAUCAAAGACGCUACCACACCCAUCAAGGAUGCUACCACACCUUUAGAAGACGCUACCACACCCAUCAAGGAUGCUACCACACCUUUAGAAGACGCUACCACACCCAUCAAGGAUGCACCCAUUGAUGGUGUUACAGCAUAUGUCGCACUGGCCACCAAAGGGGAGGUUAUAGCUGAAUCCCCUGCCAUUAUUAAUAAAACAACUGAUGGCAAGGAAGCAGGACGGGCUACUCAAGAACUACUUCCCAAUCCCACUGAUGCAAAUGCUGCUGCCACCUUUACCAUGGCUGCAGAUCCAGCCAUCAGCACCAUCACAUCCAAGCCCACCCUGGAGAAACCAAGCUCUGCCUCCAACACCAAGCUUGUCGGUCACAUGAACCCUACAGAAGAUGAUCAAGAGGACAAUCUAGAGUCCCAGGCAGAGACUGACGUGUACGACAGAGAAAAUGACGACGACGUCGAUGACGGCGACUAUGACCUGGGGCCAGCAGUUAAGGCUCUGAACUUCGACGAGGAGGAUGACAUCAUGGUGGACGCAGACAAUGAACCGGUGGUGCUCAGACCAGCAGAGAAUGCUGGGAAGAUAGACGUGCGUAUGAAGGACACCAACAUCUACACCAUCCAGGAUGAGGACUCGCACUUCUUCUUCCACUUGGUCAUCCUGGCCUUCCUGGUGGCCAUCGUAUACAUCACCUACCACAACAAGAGGAAGAUCUUCCUCCUGGCCCAGAGUCGGCGCUGGAGGGACGGCCUGUGCUCUCGCAACAAUGUGGAGUACCAUCGGCUGGACCAGAAUGUCAACGACGCCAUGCCUUCCCUCAAGAUGACUCAAGAUUACAUUUUCUGAGCUGAGAAGGAAGGCAAAAGACUGACCUGAAUUGAACAAACCUGUUUCCGGCUGCAUUGUUGACAUGCUCGCUUGCCCACAAGCUUGCCCCACUUCCUCUUGCUUCAGGACAAUCCUGGACAGGAGGGAGUUUGAUGGUACUUCAUCUCUGUAAUCGAUAACCUACACGUUUUCAAUGUUCAUCCAAAUUACACACACAGAACAUUUGGAUGAAUAGAUUGCCAGAAUCAAUAUCAAGAUAAAUAUGUUGUGAUACUUUGCUUGUUAGUAACUAGUUUGCCUAGCAAUGAAGGAAGGCUAUUUGUAGUUAUUAGCCACAAAGCAUUUGUAGUUGUAGAAGUUAAUAUUGUAGGAAUACAGUAUACUACACCAGUGUUUCCCAAAUCCUGUCCUCCAGUACGCCCCCAAAACACAUUUUUGUUGUGGCCCCGGACAAGCACACCUGGUUUCUACUUGGGGGGGACUGGAGUUGGAAAACUAUACUACAAUUAUAGACCUUAAUAAAAAAUGCAGAUUAUUUUUUUUUUUUACAGCAAUACUGACAAUGAUUUAUGUUGUGGUUCUUACGCUAAAUCCAUCCUCCCUUGACUUUUGUAGACAUGUGUGAACACACCACCACAUUGAUAUGGUGGCAGUUAUUCCUUGUAAUUGUAUUUUUCCAUAAUCUGGCAUUGUACUGGUCUUAACACUUUGCUCAGAUUGCUAUACACUUAUCCCAGGACUGGUCCUCCUUUCUAUUUGUUCGGUCCUUCAUUCUUCUCUUUUUAUCAGAAAUCUGCACUCUUCAUGUGGCCUAAUGUGCAUGUAAAGCACCACUUGGACACUGAUUACCUUAGAUCAAUCAGCUCUCUGUCCCCGCUCUGGGGGCUUGUACAUCCCAAAUGGCACCCUAUUCCUUAUGUAGUGCACUACUUUUGACCAGGGCCCUAUGGCUUUGGUCAAAAGUAGUGCACUGUGUAGGGAAUGGGUUACCAUUUGGGACGUAAACUCAGUCUGGAGAAAACGAUAACCACCGUUGCUCACUCGUCAUUACCUUAACGAGCCUUCAGUUCUAAUGCCAUUAUCUUGUGACAUGAAUCGAGAAUUAUCAAUUCUCAUGCACUUGUCAAUCGCUGUUAAAUUUCCACUGUCUUUUCAGUACAGAGAAGAAGCAUUAGCCUGAGUGCCAGUCUGUUUAUGGUAACGUGCCAACUUGUCACUCAUUGUCAUGACGAGCAUGUUUGCCUUGACAAUGAGCGAUGGCAUUGGAAAGGGCACAAAGGCUGCGUCUACACAAGCAGCCUAAUUCUGAUAUUUUUUCCACUAAUUGGUCUUUACACCAAUUACAUCAGAUCUAUUUCAGAGCUGAUCUGAUAUGUUAAAAGGCCAAUUUAAUCAACAAAAUAUCAGAUUUGGGCUUCCUGUGUAAACAGCCUAAAUCUGGGACGAGGCUAAAACAUUGUAAAUAGGUGGUGGAUUUCAGCUCUGCCAGGAGCUGUGCGCACUCUGGUGUCACGACAAUCGCUAAAGCAUGAGAUGGAGAUGUCAUGCAUGGAACAGAUACGGUGUUGUGUAGCUUUCAUAUAGCAUGUGGUGGAUGAACACUGUUUUUGCAAUCAACUGUAGAGAUUCUAUAAAGCACUAAUACAUA